GUUAAUUGUACAUAACAAAAUCAAUUAAAAUUUAUUAAAUGUAUAGAGGGGAGAGAGAAAGCACUAAACUUUUUAAGUAUUAUGUGAUUUGAGAUAACACAUGACAAGUUCUUGAAAGGGUUUAGCUUUCUUUAUACCUAACACUAAUACUACUUAGUGAAUCAACACUACUUCCCAUCCCUCUUCGAGAUGGGAACUUGCAUCACCAAGCUGUACUUCAUUCAUGCAUAGUUGAGUCAUCAAUGCUGUCCUUGCUCCCAUCACGAAUGUUGUACUUCUCGGGAGUGUGUAAGUUACAAAGAAACAAAAAAAAUACACAAAACACUAAUAUUUACGUG
This 338-nucleotide unclassified non-coding RNA is filed under the name Hevea brasiliensis (rubber tree). Lineage: Eukaryota; Viridiplantae; Streptophyta; Magnoliopsida; Malpighiales; Euphorbiaceae. The record is from RNAcentral.